GAUUGGGUCUUAUUCUUCGGCUUUUUGUAUGGUUUGGCUAUGCUUUCCGGGUUUAGUCCUUUGAUGGCUCUUGAUCUCUGUUUUGGGUUCCUAGAUCUUAUGCAUUGAUUGUCUCCUCUCGAUUUUGUGUGGUUUCUGGUGGGCUAGGUUCGUGCUUGGGUUUGUCACUCGGAUGGUUCAUCGUUGCAGGUGCAUCUACUAGCUCUCCUCUGAAACUCUUUAUUGGUUUUAGUGGUUGGGUUCAAGGCGUAGCAGUGGUGUCGUUCUCCAAUGCUUCUCUUGCGAGGUCGUGACCGGUCUUUGUCUGUAGAUGGCUUUGAUUGGUUCGCUUUGUCCGCGUCUCCGAUGCCAAACUGUUUCUAUGGGACUUUUGCGGGAUAUGAUGGAUUGAGUUUCAAUUUUAGAUCUUUGGUUCCUUGUGUUUCUUGCUUUUUGUACCUUGUUACUCUAGUUUGCUUCCCUUGUUUGGGCUUAGUUUUCCGGGGAUAUCUUUGUCUUCCGCCGGCUUAGUUUUCCGGGGAUAUUUAUGUUUUCCACCGGCUUAGUAUUCUACCUUGUAUUUCUCUUAUGGUUAAUCUAAUGGAAAUAAUUCAGACGAAAAAAAAAAAAA
Arabidopsis lyrata subsp. lyrata is the source of this 610-nucleotide long non-coding RNA. RefSeq lists it as uncharacterized. NCBI's taxonomy places the organism in Eukaryota, Viridiplantae, Streptophyta, Magnoliopsida, Brassicales, Brassicaceae. The record is from RefSeq and is a predicted model, not a curated record. The transcript is spliced from 2 exons.